AUGCGAUACGUAAUGUGAAUUGCAGAAUUCAGUGAAUCAUCGAAUCUUUGAACGCAUAUUGCGCUCUCUGGUAUUCCGGAGAGCAUGCUUGUUUGAGUAUCAGUAAACACCUCAACUCCUUUUUCUUUUUUGAAAUUGGAGCUGGACUUGAGUGAUCCCAACGCUUUCUUCCAAGAAAGUGGCGGGUUGCUUGAAAUGCAGGUGCAGCUGAACUUUUCUCUGAGCUAUAAGCAUAUCUAUUUAGUCUGCCUAAAAAACAGAUUAUUACCUUUGCUGCAGCUAACAUAAAGGAGACUAGUUCUUGUGCUGACUGAUGCAGGAUUCACAGAGACAGCUUCGGCUGACUUUGUAAACUCGAUCUCAAAUCAAGUAAGACUACCCGCUGAACUUAA
This 392-nucleotide unclassified non-coding RNA is filed under the name uncultured Mortierella. RNAcentral describes it as "partial contains 5.8S ribosomal RNA, internal transcribed spacer 2, and large subunit ribosomal RNA". The stretch from base 1 to 102 matches the Rfam family "5.8S ribosomal RNA", at positions 53 to 154 of the family's 154-position model. Lineage: Eukaryota; Fungi; Mortierellomycota; Mortierellomycetes; Mortierellales; Mortierellaceae. The record is from RNAcentral.